This 579-nucleotide ribosomal RNA is filed under the name coliform bacterium Sc5. Its description in RNAcentral is "bacterial SSU rRNA". It matches the Rfam family "Bacterial small subunit ribosomal RNA", at positions 846 to 1425 of the family's 1533-position model. The record is from RNAcentral.
CCGGAGCUAACGCGUUAAGUCGACCGCCUGGGGAGUACGGCCGCAAGGUUAAAACUCAAAUGAAUUGACGGGGGCCCGCACAAGCGGUGGAGCAUGUGGUUUAAUUCGAUGCAACGCGAAGAACCUUACCUACUCUUGACAUCCAGAGAACUUAGCAGAGAUGCUAUGGUGCCUUCGGGAACUCUGAGACAGGUGCUGCAUGGCUGUCGUCAGCUCGUGUUGUGAAAUGUUGGGUUAAGUCCCGCAACGAGCGCAACCCUUAUCCUUUGUUGCCAGCGGUUCGGUCGGGAACUCAAAGGAGACUGCCAGUGAUAAACUGGAGGAAGGUGGGGAUGACGUCAAGUCAUCAUGGCCCUUACGAGUAGGGCUACACACGUGCUACAAUGGCAUAUACAAAGAGAAGCGACCUCGCGAGAGCAAGCGGACCUCAUAAAGUAUGUCGUAGUCCGGAUCGGAGUCUGCAACUCGACUCCGUGAAGUCGGAAUCGCUAGUAAUCGUGGAUCAGAAUGCCACGGUGAAUACGUUCCCGGGCCUUGUACACACCGCCCGUCACACCAUGGGAGUGGGUUGCAAAAGAA